UGGGGAAUAUUGGACAAUGGGGGCAACCCUGAUCCAGCAAUGCCGCGUGAGUGAUGAAGGCCUUAGGGUUGUAAAGCUCUUUCGCCCACGACGAUGAUGACGGUAGUGGGAGAAGAAGCCCCGGCUAACUUCGUGCCAGCAGCCGCGGUAAUACGAAGGGGGCUAGCGUUGUUCGGAGUUACUGGGCGUAAAGGGCGCGUAGGCGGCCUGUUAAGUCGGGUGUGAAAGCCCGGGGCUCAACCCCGGAGGUGCACUCGGGACUGGCAGGCUUGAGUGCGGGAGAGGAUGGUGGAAUUCCCAGUGUAGAGGUGAAAUUCGUAGAUAUUGGGAAGAACACCGGUGGCGAAGGCGGCCAUCUGGACCGUUACUGACGCUGAGGCGCGAAAGCGUGGGGAGCAAACAGGAUUAGAUACCCCCGUAGUCC
This 424-nucleotide ribosomal RNA is filed under the name uncultured bacterium. RNAcentral describes it as "bacterial SSU rRNA". It matches the Rfam family "Bacterial small subunit ribosomal RNA", at positions 355 to 796 of the family's 1533-position model. The record is from RNAcentral.